CCUACGGGUGGCAGCAGUGGGGAAUAUUGGACAAUGGGCGAAAGCCUGAUCCAGCCAUGCCGCGUGUGUGAAGAAGGCCUUCGGGUUGUAAAGCACUUUCAGUGGGGAAGAAAGCCUUGGGGCUAAUACCCUCGAGGAAGGACAUCACCCACAGAAGAAGCACCGGCUAACUCCGUGCCAGCAGCCGCGUUAAUACGGAGGGUGCGAGCGUUAAUCGGAAUUACUGGGCGUAAAGCGCGCGUAGGCGGUCUGAUAAGCCGGUUGUGAAAGCCCCGGGCUCAACCUGGGAACGGCAUCCGGAACUGUCAGGCUAGAGUGCAGGAGAGGAAGGUAGAAUUCCCGGUGUAGCGGUGAAAUGCGUAGAGAUCGGGAGGAAUACCAGUGGCGAAGGCGGCCUUCUGGACUGACACUGACGCUGAGGUGCGAAAGCGUGGGUAGCAAACAGGAUUAGAUACCCCGGUAGUC
This 465-nucleotide ribosomal RNA is filed under the name Vreelandella stevensii. RNAcentral's name for it is "partial 16S ribosomal RNA". It matches the Rfam family "Bacterial small subunit ribosomal RNA", at positions 338 to 795 of the family's 1533-position model. The record is from RNAcentral. Lineage: Bacteria; Pseudomonadati; Pseudomonadota; Gammaproteobacteria; Oceanospirillales; Halomonadaceae.